AUAAACUUCAUUGGGGAGUAGCCGCUGUUCUGCAAUAGAACAGGUGAUGGUCAACAUAUUUGCUCUAAAACGAGCAUGGUCAUCAUAGCAAAGAACCAAAUGAGCUCUAUUUGAGCUUUCUUUUGUUGGCAAGACCUUUGAU
Molecule: small RNA, 142 nt
Filed under: Acinetobacter sp.
Lineage: Bacteria; Pseudomonadati; Pseudomonadota; Gammaproteobacteria; Moraxellales; Moraxellaceae
Description: Manganese sequence
Rfam family: Manganese Mn2+ riboswitch aptamer (yybP-ykoY) (bases 1-127)
About the family: This RNA was originally discovered in E. coli during a large scale screen and was named SraF. The family was later found to exist upstream of related families of protein genes in many bacteria, including the the yybP and ykoK genes in B. subtilis.
Source: RNAcentral